UACGUAGGUGGCAAGCGUUGUCCGGAAUUAUUGGGCGUAAAGCGCGCGCAGGCGGUCUUUUAAGUCUGAUGUGAAAGCCCACGGCUCAACCGUGGAGGGUCAUUGGAAACUGGGGGACUUGAGUGCAGAAGAGGAAAGCGGAAUUCCACGUGUAGCGGUGAAAUGCGUAGAGAUGUGGAGGAACACCAGUGGCGAAGGCGGCUUUCUGGUCUGUAACUGACGCUGAGGCGCGAAAGCGUGGGGAGCAAACAGG
This 253-nucleotide ribosomal RNA is filed under the name uncultured bacterium. RNAcentral's name for it is "partial 16S ribosomal RNA". It matches the Rfam family "Bacterial small subunit ribosomal RNA", at positions 524 to 776 of the family's 1533-position model. The record is from RNAcentral.